Long non-coding RNA from Xenia sp. Carnegie-2017, 1345 nucleotides. RefSeq lists it as uncharacterized. The transcript has 4 exons. Lineage: Eukaryota; Metazoa; Cnidaria; Anthozoa; Malacalcyonacea; Xeniidae. The record is from RefSeq and is a predicted model, not a curated record.
CAAAUUGUCUAGAGGCAAUAGUCUCUGCUACAUUUUGAGAGAUGCAGUGUAAAGCUAGCUCAGGAAGGCAGGGAUACAACUUUGUUAACUUUAACUUAGGACACAUGUAAAUAUUUUUCUGUUUAAAUCACAAUUAUUAUUUUAGAGAAACGAGGCGGGAAGUAGUCCAGCCAUGGAAUACAUUGGUUUUCAAAGAUGUAUGGAUUACAUGCUGAACUGUAGACUCAAUAUUUCUACCAUGGUGACAGACUGCCACAAAUCAAUACAGAAGCACAUGCGUGAGAAUCUGAAUCAAAUAACACAUUAUUUUGACCUAUGGCACAUUAAGAAAAAUAGAAGCACGAAGAAAUAGUGUGUGAAAAUUAUCGAGUGGUUUGUAAGUAUUGUAUUCAAAUGAUACCAAGGAAAGAUAUUGAACAUCAUGAAAGUACAACUUGUGAUGAAGUGCCGACGAAAUGUGAAUUUCAAGCCAUUGGAUGCAACCAUGAUAAAACUUUAAAACGAAAGGAGAUCAGACAACAUAUGAAUGACACUCCAAUUAAUCACGUGAGCCUCUUGUUACGAUAUGUUAUGGCAUUUGUUAUACUGCUUGAUAACUUCGUAGUACGUCCAGAUGUUAGAUGGCAAAAUUACAGUUCAGGAAAGAAUUGAGUGUCUCGAGGGUCGUGGUAGUAGCAAUAGUUAUAACACCCAGUUGUCCCAAGAGGUUUCCUUGUUGCGUGAAAGAAUUUCAACACUUGAGCGAAAAGCGAGAGACGAUUCUUCCACUAUACAACGGUUUCGUAAGCGUUUAGAUCAAAUAGACGAAUCAAUAGUGAGAAACAUGGUGAACAUUACGAACCUUGAAGCGCAACGUGAAGAGCGCGCACUGGGAUCAAAUCAGGUAAUACACAGCCACAAUGGUACGUUACUUUGGAAAAUAGACAAUUUCUAGAAGAAGAGACAGGACGCCAUUAAUGGUGUUAAGAAUGCCUGGUACAGUCCACCAUUCUACAGUUUUCAAUAUGGUUACAAGAUGUGUGCUAAGAUCUAUAUGAAUGGUGAUGGUUUUGGAAAGGAAACACAUUUAUCUUUGUUCUUUGUUAUCAUGAAAGGUGAUUAGGAUGCUCUACAAACAUGGCCAUUGCAAAAGAAGAUCACAAUGAUGUUAGUGGCUCAAGGAAAUGGUGAUCACAUGAUUGAUGCUUUUCAUUCAGAUCCUCGAAGUUCCUUAUUUCAGCGACCAUAGUCUGAUUUGAAUCUAUUUGGAUUGCCAGUUCUAAUUUGGCCGAUAGAGAGUUUAAGCAAUCUUCCGUUCAUUAAGUAUGAUACAAUGUUCAUUAAGUUAAUUGUUGAAUGAACAAAA